GACGAACGCUGGCGGCGUGCUUAACACAUGCAAGUCGAACGGAAAGGCCCUGCUUUUGUGGGGUGCUCGAGUGGCGAACGGGUGAGUAACACGUGAGUAACCUGCCCUUGACUUUGGGAUAACUUCAGGAAACUGGGGCUAAUACCGGAUAGGAGCUCCUGCUGCAUGGUGGGGGUUGGAAAGUUUCGGCGGUUGGGGAUGGACUCGCGGCUUAUCAGCUUGUUGGUGGGGUAGUGGCUUACCAAGGCUUUGACGGGUAGCCGGCCUGAGAGGGUGACCGGCCACAUUGGGACUGAGAUACGGCCCAGACUCCUACGGGAGGCAGCAGGGGGGAAUAUUGCACGAUGGGCGGAAGCCUGAUGCAGCAACGCCGCGUGCGGGAUGACGGCCUUCGGGUUGUAAACCGCUUUCGCCUGUGACGAAGCGUGAGUGACGGUAAUGGGUAAAGAAGCACCGGCUAACUACGUG
Molecule: ribosomal RNA, 468 nt
Filed under: uncultured bacterium
Lineage: Bacteria
Description: partial 16S ribosomal RNA
Rfam family: Bacterial small subunit ribosomal RNA
Source: RNAcentral